UCAUAAAAUCCCUCGUUUUAACAUUCCUACUCCGCUUCGAACUCUUCUCUGUCCGUCUCUCGUCGACGCCUGAGAAGAAGAGAAAAAAACCCCCUCGAAAAUUCAAAAUCUCGUCAUCUCUCUAUUUUCUCAGAUAUCGUCAAAAAGCUGUAUUCUGCUGCUAGCAGAGAGUGAUCAAUUGAAAAUUGGAAGGAACUUGCCACUGAUGAGUACAAAGGCGCCAGCAAAAGCUUAUCCUCAGGUGGUGAAAUUGGAAAAGGCACUGAAGUUGGAGAUGCUUCCCGAUUGAAGCAGCCGCUUUGUCCACCCUGGGCUAGUUGACCCAUCCAGUGCCAUGGACGCUAUGCCAGAGGUGACCGUUAGUGCGCCACUAGAUUUCGGCCAAGCUCAGGCCACGUCUUCGGCCCCACCCGCACCUCAGGUGGCCCCGACUAUAAAUAUGAUGGGGCAGAUGUUGCUCUAUAGCAACAACAACAACAGACCCUGACCACACUUGUGGAACCUAUCGCCUACAACCCAAAUGUGGCCCCACCGAUGCAGCUCGCACAGACUCCUGUCACGACCGCGACAAGCGAUAUGUUUGAGCGCUUCCAAAUUCUCAGGCCGCCCACCUUUGCGGGCACCCACCGGCCCGAGGACUCCGAAUAUUUGCUAAAUUGGAUCUCCAAGAUAAUUCGGCCCCUCCACUGUUUCGAAGCAGAAUAAGUUGAGCUCGUUACUUACGGGUUUGAGAAGGAGGCAGACGUAUGGUGGGAUAGUGUACUAAGGUCCGUACCGGCCGGCUUCAUAUGGACGUGGGAUGAAUUUGAGUUGCGCUUCUUCAAGAAGUACAUUCCACUCACCGUAAUGAAAAGGAGAGUGAAUUUCUCCACCUCCAGCAGGGAGGGAUGUCAGUGGCCGAGUACGAGACCCGCUUCACGGAGCUAUCGCAGUAUGCUCCUUAGAUAGUGGCAGACGAACAGACCAAGAUGCGGUGUUUUUCGGAGGGCUUACGGGUAGGCAUCCGCAUAAAGAUGUGUUGUGUCGAUAUUCAUACAUAUGCCGACCUUAUGGAGAUGUCCUUACGAUCUGAGCAGGAUGGGGAGUGGGUCUCUCGAGCCUGCCUACAGUUGGGCCCAAGGCCUAGGAUGGAGGGGCAACCCUCGUCACUCCCGGGCAAGAGGCAACGGAUGAACUCGCCUCCGAGACUUAUGGCUCCCCUAGCUCCCCAAAUGCGGCCUAAUCGAGUAUGCACAUACUGUAAGAAAGUGGGCCAUACGAUGCCCUUUUUUUUCUCCAGGAUGAGGGACAACGGCUAUAUGCCCCCUCAGCGCAUUAAUUGUCAACCACAACAAACAAUGCCAGCUCCCUCUCAGCGAGCAAUGGGGCCUGCACAACAAUUCAAUCGCCCUCCUGCACAUCAGAGUAAUCCGCCUCAACGACCUGUGCAAUUGCCCAACCUUGCGCAACAGGCGCGAGUUCAUGCAAUGGCGACAAAGGGUGUCGAUGCUGCUGUAGCUACGUCCACAACAUUCGAGGUUACAACCCACAUACAAGACCCUAUCAUAGAUGCAGGUACCCUGGAGUCCGACACGUUGGAGGAGGCAUCCGUGGACUCAGAGGAUGAGCUUUUGUAUUUCCAGCUGUUGGGCGGGCCACUAUAGGUUGCUUUAGGGGCAGCGAUGAGAUUUUGAGUUGAGAUAUUUUGUAUUUUGGAACCGCUGAAGCAUGGGUUGAUAACAUGAGCAGGACAGCUGCAGAUGAAUCAACUGAAUUGGAAUUCGAGGGCCGGCCUUCCAGGCUAGGAUUAGGGGUGAAAGUUAUACCUCAAUUUAAAGCAGCUGCUUCAACUGAUCCCGUUGAAAGGAAGUUACAUGCAAAGUUAGAUGCCGAGAAAAAGCGAGCUGCAAAAAAUGUAGAAGAAUCCAACCCAGCCGAGAAAAGUGAUGAGAAUAGUGACGGCGAUGACAAUGACCCAGAGAGCAGAACCAAUGCUUUUGUAAAAAAGAGAUCGAUGUUUCUGGCCACAUCUUUUCAAGCAAAGAAGAAACAUAGAUGAUGCAGGGAUACUUUCUUGAAUUAAAAAGGUCUUAUGAGGAACAGGUCCCAAUCUCAUGGUUUGGAUGGUUCUGAUCGAAGAACUCUUCCACUUCUGAAAAUCUUUCCCUUGAAUUCGGAUGAUGAGAUUGGUCAUGGUCCAAGCUUGCAGAAGCUCCUGAAUCAUGUAAGUUUACAUCGCAGGCUACACUAGAACUCUUGUUUGUGUGGUUGUAAGUUUCCUCUAAGCAAACUCUGUUUUCUAAAUCGGGCCUUUUUUGUUCAAUCGUCUCGCUCGAAGUUUGCUUCUUUGAUUGCUUUGCUUUGGACAUUUCUUCAUCUAUGAGUGCUUUUACACUUGACAUACUAGAAUCGACCCUGGCUAUUUUGUCGUCAUCGCCAUCCUGAAAUGUUUAAAAUUGAUAUUGUCAAAUUACUGUAUAUUUAUGUAUGUAUGAGAUAAUUUUCUCCUAGGAACCGAUUCUUACGAGUACUCUUUAAGAA
Molecule: RNA transcript, 2520 nt
Organism: Magnolia sinica
Lineage: Eukaryota; Viridiplantae; Streptophyta; Magnoliopsida; Magnoliales; Magnoliaceae
Exons: 7
Source: RefSeq, a predicted model, not a curated record